Small nucleolar RNA from Microcebus murinus (gray mouse lemur), 80 nucleotides. Ensembl annotates it as small nucleolar RNA, C/D box 20. Its record names the gene SNORD20. NCBI's taxonomy places the organism in Eukaryota, Metazoa, Chordata, Mammalia, Primates, Cheirogaleidae. The record is from Ensembl.
UGGAUAUGAUGACUGAUUACCUGAGAAAUAAUUGAUGAAAUUUCAAGAAAAUUCCUCUAGAUAGUCAAGUUCUGAUCCAG